AUGGUAUGGAACGAACGUUCGUGUUUGGAGUUGCACGCGCGAUGCGCUCCUGCCCGUCCGAUCGGCCUUGCUCUGCCAGUCUACCCCUAUCCCCACUUCCCCAGCCGCCUCACACUCUCUCCCAUGCCCAGCCGCCUCACCUGCUCCCUUCUCGCCGUCGACCUCUUCCGCGGCCCGCCACGGCGAGAACGGAGCUCGGACUUGUGUUGCUGCUCUCUCUCAGACCCCCAUUCCGAUCCCCAUUCCGGUGGCCGUUUUCUGCUCGAAUCAAGCUGCGUGCGUGUAUUCCUGCCGGCGGCCUUCUCCGUUGGGGUUCGGUUUGAUGUGGUGUACAGCGAGGAGGCCGUGGGCGACCUGCUCGCCACCCUCAACCAGCUAUCCGGCCCGGACACAACCAUACUGCUCGCCAUCCCAUCCUAG
RNAcentral lists this ribosomal RNA (420 nucleotides) under Triticum aestivum (bread wheat). Its description in RNAcentral is "partial small subunit ribosomal RNA". The record is from RNAcentral. Lineage: Eukaryota; Viridiplantae; Streptophyta; Magnoliopsida; Poales; Poaceae.